Molecule: ribosomal RNA, 253 nt
Filed under: uncultured bacterium
Lineage: Bacteria
Description: partial 16S ribosomal RNA
Rfam family: Bacterial small subunit ribosomal RNA
Source: RNAcentral
UACGGAGGGGGCUAGCGUUGUUCGGAAUUACUGGGCGUAAAGCGCGCGCAGGCGGUGAUGUAAGACAGUUGUGAAAUCCCCGGGCUCAACCUGGGAACUGCAUCUGUGACUGCAUCGCUGGAGUGCGGCAGAGGGGGAUGGAAUUCCGCGUGUAGCAGUGAAAUGCGUAGAUAUGCGGAGGAACACCGAUGGCGAAGGCGGCUAUCUGGCGGUGCACUGACGCUGAGGCGCGAAAGCACGGGGAGCAAACAGG